GCCUAAGGCCAGUCUGAUAUGAGCUCAACUCACCACCUGGAAAGCAGAAACGCUUUUUAUGUCUCAAGAAGUUGGCUGAUCCAGAAUCUUUCUGAUUGUGCCUGGAUUAUGUUUGCAGCAGAUUCAGCCUUGUGCAGCAGGCCAAGGAUGGUACAAUUGGGGCUGCCUGACCAAACCAAUCCACUCCACCUGGGUAAGGAGUGAGUGUCGGGAUGUCGCCCCUUAUCCUGAAGCGGCUGUUCCCAGGAGGGGACACGCUGAGCCCUGUGCGAGCACCAGGAUCCUGGAAAUCCCUGGAGUCCGGGAACGGCACCACAGGACACAGAGCCCGAAGUCAGGGCCACGCACUGUAAACUGCUCUGGGAAUAAAGGCACUGCAUAAAUC
RNAcentral lists this long non-coding RNA (385 nucleotides) under Serinus canaria (Common canary). RNAcentral describes it as "lncRNA (ENSSCAG00000003060.1)". The record is from RNAcentral. Lineage: Eukaryota; Metazoa; Chordata; Aves; Passeriformes; Fringillidae.